GUGGGAGGGGGCUUGCCCCCGAUGGCUGUGUAUCAGUCAGCCUAUUUUAACCUGACCCACCGAUAUCGGGGGCAAGCCCCCUCCCAC
This 87-nucleotide unclassified non-coding RNA is filed under the name Pseudomonas libanensis. The record is from RNAcentral. Lineage: Bacteria; Pseudomonadati; Pseudomonadota; Gammaproteobacteria; Pseudomonadales; Pseudomonadaceae.